CUUCCAAACUGUACACAACCCACACUGAAUACCUGCUUCCCUCUAGGCCUGGGCACUUCUGUUCCCUUUGCCCAGCAUACCUUUGUCCCUCCCCACAUUUUCAACACUUGUACUUCUAUUUUUCCCUUAGGACUUCAUUCGUGUAUCACCUCCUCCAGGAAGCAUUCCCUGAUAACACCCUGGCCACAUCCCUGGAGGCUGGUUUAUAUGCCCUUCCUCUGUUUCCAUAGUGACUUCUAUUUUCUACUUACCAUGAGGCACAUCACACUGUAUCUGUCUUUACCACUGGAUACGUCUUGUUUAUUCUUCUAUUUGCAACGUUCUAGAAUCCCUGAAUAUUUGACAACGUAUGCUUUCCCUCUACCAUAUGGCAUGAGUGAGACCAGGGUUGGAACAAUGAUCACUCAAUGUUCCAAGAUUCAUGUAAAAAGAAGUCUUUUGUUUUAAUCACUGAGAACUUCCGGAGAAAAGAAGAAAGGGUCUUGCUUUGUCACCCAGGCUGGAGUGCAAUGGUACGAUCGUGGCUCACGGCAGCCUCAACAUCUCAAGCUUAAGUGAUCCUCCUGCCUCAGCCUCCCAAAGUGCUGGGAUUAUAGGCAUGAGCCACCACACCCAGCCUGAAUUCUUCAUGGAUCUGAUGCCUACAUGCUAUCUGCCUGGGUGCCACUGGAGCUCUGAAUUUUACAUACCAGGAGAAGAUUAGGACACCUAGAGAGACACUAGGGGUUCCUUUGCACAGAAGAAAGGCCACAUGAAGAUGGGGACACAGCAAGAAGGCAGCGGCAGCAAGCAAAGGAGAGAGGCCUCUGAGGAAACCAACCCUGCCAAACACCUGCUGCUUGGACUUCUAGCGUCCAGAACUGUGGACUCUUAUCAAUACCGAACAUUGAAAUCUGGAGGCUCGGCCAUCAGAACUCUUACACAGCACAGAAGACGAGUUUCACGGGUCACUCAGCAUCUACUGGAAGGAUGGAAAAAAUCAAGAAUUUGGCACCCUAAACACAACAUGAGAAGGUUUCACUCAGUAAUGGCCUCCUGAAAACAACUUAAUCUUCUUGGACAAGACUCUGAACUGAAAUCAAGGUUUCAAAAUAUUUUGUUGUGAGUGAUGAAGCUGUCUGGACCUAACUUUUCCGAGAGGCCAAGAAACCAUUCUGUAAUCCUGCAAAAUGGUUUCUGAAGAGUCUGGUGAAAUGCAACUGUUAUCCCUCACUUUGCAUUUUGCUCCAACGAUUCUGAGGUGCAACUUAUGGAUGAGACUGAUUUCUUUCCAUAUUGCUGUAGUAAAUUGGUUUUUGUUGUUUUCAUGGGCUUUGUAAAUCUUGCUGAUAAAAUCCAUAAGUGAUUUGCUAACAUAAAAGCUAACUGGAGAAACAUAAAAAAUAAUUCAAAAAUCAUUUCAUCUUAUCAACUGGAUUAAAAUUAAAAUUAUUAGAAAUACUAAUGAUAGUAUUUCUUUCCAGAGUGGUAAUGGAGUUUUUUUCCUUUUUAUUAAUAGCCCUUAAUGUAUCUUAUGGGAACAAUUAAUAGACAUUCUUCAAACUCCUUCAGAAAGCCCAAUGACAAGUGGCAUUUUUACCAGCGAGAUUCUCAGCGAAUAUAUAAUUCUUUGUCAAUAUUCAAAUUAAGGCAGAAACUCUAGAGUCUGAUCUGUAUCUAUUUCAUCUUUUAAAUGUGUUGAAAGGCCUCUGAGUGCAUCUUAAGCAGUUGGUAAAUAUUUUUCAGGUCAUCACAUACAGGAACUGGACCCCAGUUUUUCCUAAAAAAAUAUGUAUGUACAGAUGACAGAAAAAAAAUUGCCUUCAGAAAAUGGAACCCAUGUGCCAAGGCCUGGUCAGUAAAAAAAUCCCUAAUUUUUGCUUGUUUUAUAAUUUGUCUUAGGUUUUCUCUGACACUAGUGGAUUUCUUUUUUAAGGCAGUCAUAGUUCUAAUACUGUUCAGGCCUUGAAAAAUCCAAUCUAGGCUGGAUUAUGGUGGCUCACACUUGUAGUCCCAGCACUUUUGGAGCUCUGGGUAGAAGGAUCGCUUGAGGCCAGGAGUUUGAGACCAGCCUGGGAAACACAGCAAGAACUAUUUCUACAAAAGAUUUUAAAAAAUUAACUGGGCAUGGUGGUUUGCACCUGUAGUCCUAGGUACUUGUGAAGCUGAGGUGGGAGGAUCACUCAAGCCCAGAAGUUGGAGGCUGCAGUGAGCCAUGACUGCACCACUGUACUCCAGCCUGGGUGAUGGUGCAAGACCCCAACUCUAAAAAAAUAAAAAUAAACAGUCUGAUGAAGAGUCUUUUGAUAUUCUUAUUUC
Molecule: long non-coding RNA, 2298 nt
Organism: Homo sapiens (human)
Lineage: Eukaryota; Metazoa; Chordata; Mammalia; Primates; Hominidae
Exons: 7
Source: RefSeq, a predicted model, not a curated record